AGUGAACGCUGGCGGCGUGCCUAAUACAUGCAAGUCGAACGGACAAGUAAGAGCUUGCUCUUAUGAGUUAGUGGCGCACGGGUGAGUAAUGUAUAGCUAAUCUGCCCUACACUAGAGGACAACAGUUGGAAACGGCUGCUAAUACUCUAUACUCCUGUCUUACAUAAGUUAGAUAGGGAAAGUUUUUCGGUGUAGGAUGAGGCUAUAUUGUAUCAGCUAGUUGGUGAGGUAAUGGCUCACCAAGGCUAUGACGCAUAACUGGUCUGAGAGGAUGAUCAGUCACACUGGAACUGAGACACGGUCCAGACUCCUACGGGAGGCAGCAGUAGGGAAUAUUGCUCAAUGGGGGAAACCCUGAAGCAGCAACGCCGCGUGGAGGAUGACACUUUUCGGAGCGUAAACUCCUUUUGUUAGGGAAGAAUAAUGACGGUACCUAACGAAUAAGCACCGGCUAACUCCGUGCCAGCAGCCGCGGUAAUACGGAGGGUGCAAGCGUUACUCGGAAUCACUGGGCGUAAAGGACGCGUAGGCGGAUUAUCAAGUCUCUUGUGAAAUCCUAUGGCUUAACCAUAGAACUGCUUGGGAAACUGGUAAUCUAGAGUGAGGGAGAGGCAGAUGGAAUUGGUGGUGUAGGGGUAAAAUCCGUAGAGAUCACCAGGAAUACCCAUUACGAAGGCGAUCUGCUGGAACUCAACUGACGCUAAUGCGUGAAAGCGUGGGGAGCAACAGGAUUAGAUACCCUGGUAGUCCACGCCCUAAACGAUGUAUACUAGUUGUUGCUAAGCUAGUCUUGGCAGUAAUGCAGCCUAACGGAUUAAGUAUACCGCCUGGGGAGUACGGUCGCAAGAUUAAAACUCAAAGGAAUAGACGGGGACCCGCACAAGCGGUGGAGCAUGUGGUUUAAUUCGAAGAUACGCGAAGAACCUUACCCGGACUUGAUAUCUAACAAAUCAUCUAGAGAUAGAAGAGUGUCUGCUU
RNAcentral lists this ribosomal RNA (978 nucleotides) under Campylobacter concisus. Its description in RNAcentral is "bacterial SSU rRNA". It matches the Rfam family "Bacterial small subunit ribosomal RNA", at positions 28 to 1022 of the family's 1533-position model. Lineage: Bacteria; Pseudomonadati; Campylobacterota; Epsilonproteobacteria; Campylobacterales; Campylobacteraceae. The record is from RNAcentral.